RNAcentral lists this long non-coding RNA (518 nucleotides) under Setaria viridis. RNAcentral describes it as "long non-coding RNA (SVIR_LNC008308)". The record is from RNAcentral. Lineage: Eukaryota; Viridiplantae; Streptophyta; Magnoliopsida; Poales; Poaceae.
GUGGCGAUAAGAUGCUUCGGGCGAACAUGGUUUCAGUUGUGGCCGUGCUUCUUGGCGUCCUUCUUCUCGUGGCGCUCGUGGAAGGCGUAGCCAGCGGAGCCCACGGCGGCGACGGCGGCCACCUCCUCCUUGAUCCGGUGGCCGUGCUCGUUCUCGGGGUCCUUCUUGGCCUUGUGCUUCUCAUGCUGCAGUCACACGCAGGAACAGAUGCAUAUGCAAAUCAAGAGCUGAAUCAUGCGUGGAUAUACAUGCAGUUCAAAGAAAUUAAUUGGAUUACUGCUGACCAGAGCGUAUGCGCCGGCGGCAAUGGCACCAAGGCCGCCGAGCUGCUCCAUGUGCUUGUGGUGCUUCUCCUUCUUCUCGUAGUCGACCUCGCCGGAGCUCUCCUCCUCCUUGUGGUGGUGGAACAGGUGGUGGUGGUGCUUCUCCUCGGCCAUGACUUGCUUGUCAAAGAAAGAUUCAAAUAUAUGUUUCUCUGCAAAGUUAUCAGGGGGGAGAUGAUCGUCGGCUUCUUGGAU